GCUGGGUGCAGUGGCCUACCCCUGUAAUUCCAGCAGCACAGGAGGCUGAGGCAGGAGGAUCAUGGGUUCAAAGCCAGCCUUGAGUGAGGUGCUAAGCAACUCAGUGAGACCCUAUCUCUA
This 120-nucleotide small RNA is filed under the name Marmota monax (woodchuck). The record is from RNAcentral. Lineage: Eukaryota; Metazoa; Chordata; Mammalia; Rodentia; Sciuridae.